CAGCCUACAUUCCGAGAAUAUCCUAACCAUUUGCAAAUUCUUUUCCACAGACUAUUUGUUCUUGCACAACCAAAGAAGAGAUGAUUAAAAUCUUCCACUUGAGACUUGCAGAAUACACAGUCCAUUGGGAUAUGAAUGCCCAUUACCUGCAAUCUAUCCACAGUAGGAAGACUGUGAUGAGCUGCAAGCCAGGCAGUAAACUUGUGCCUAGGCAGCACAUUAUCAAUUAGCAACAAAUUUUUCCAUGUGACUUUUGUAAAACUGG
Molecule: long non-coding RNA, 265 nt
Filed under: Nicotiana benthamiana
Lineage: Eukaryota; Viridiplantae; Streptophyta; Magnoliopsida; Solanales; Solanaceae
Description: long non-coding RNA (NBEN_LNC018048)
Source: RNAcentral